Long non-coding RNA from Coffea arabica (coffee), 605 nucleotides. RefSeq lists it as uncharacterized. The record is from RefSeq and is a predicted model, not a curated record. NCBI's taxonomy places the organism in Eukaryota, Viridiplantae, Streptophyta, Magnoliopsida, Gentianales, Rubiaceae.
CACCCACCCACACUUCAAUCUUGCAAAAUUAUAGCUCAAAUGGAGCAAAGGUAGCAUGGGUUUGCAACCUAUGGCAGAAUUUUGGUUGAUUAAUUAUUUGAUUGCAAUUUCAUGACAUGUUGGACGGCUUGAGGAUGCUUAUUGGUGGCUGAUUUGAUGAAUUAACAUGUUUUGGUUGCUGAUAUUGUGCUAUGUUACAUGUAUAUAGAAUGAUUGAUGGAAUGAAGUUGGAAGAAAGUUAGAAAUUUGGAGAAGGAUCUCAAGAGGACUUCGAGGGAACUCCCGGCGAAGCGUCUUAGAGCUAAUUUCUCAAACUUUGAUUUUUGAUACUUGGUUUGGAAGUGGAAGUUCUGAGGCUUAAUUAGUGACCCCCAAAAAUAAUUUUUCCCCAUAGGGCUCGAGGCCAAAGAAAGCGCUUGUAUUAAGUUAUUAGUGCCUGAAGGGAUAUCUCAUAUAUAAUUUGAAUUUGAUUCACUUGAUAAGUAUUUGAUGUAAUUAUUUGAGAACUGAGAACUUUUGUCUUAUUCGGGGAAUGAUACCCUUACUUGAGAUUUGUAAUGUAUCUUAUCUCAUUCUAAGUUUGAAAAAUGUUAUUUUGUUUAUUC